This 1554-nucleotide ribosomal RNA is filed under the name Salmonella enterica subsp. enterica serovar Mbandaka str. ATCC 51958. RNAcentral's name for it is "bacterial SSU rRNA". It matches the Rfam family "Bacterial small subunit ribosomal RNA". The record is from RNAcentral. Lineage: Bacteria; Pseudomonadati; Pseudomonadota; Gammaproteobacteria; Enterobacterales; Enterobacteriaceae.
UUAAAUUGAAGAGUUUGAUCAUGGCUCAGAUUGAACGCUGGCGGCAGGCCUAACACAUGCAAGUCGAACGGUAACAGGAAGCAGCUUGCUGCUUCGCUGACGAGUGGCGGACGGGUGAGUAAUGUCUGGGAAACUGCCUGAUGGAGGGGGAUAACUACUGGAAACGGUGGCUAAUACCGCAUAACGUCGCAAGACCAAAGAGGGGGACCUUCGGGCCUCUUGCCAUCAGAUGUGCCCAGAUGGGAUUAGCUGGUUGGUGAGGUAACGGCUCACCAAGGCGACGAUCCCUAGCUGGUCUGAGAGGAUGACCAGCCACACUGGAACUGAGACACGGUCCAGACUCCUACGGGAGGCAGCAGUGGGGAAUAUUGCACAAUGGGCGCAAGCCUGAUGCAGCCAUGCCGCGUGUAUGAAGAAGGCCUUCGGGUUGUAAAGUACUUUCAGCGGGGAGGAAGGUGUUGCGGUUAAUAACCGCAGCAAUUGACGUUACCCGCAGAAGAAGCACCGGCUAACUCCGUGCCAGCAGCCGCGGUAAUACGGAGGGUGCAAGCGUUAAUCGGAAUUACUGGGCGUAAAGCGCACGCAGGCGGUCUGUCAAGUCGGAUGUGAAAUCCCCGGGCUCAACCUGGGAACUGCAUUCGAAACUGGCAGGCUUGAGUCUUGUAGAGGGGGGUAGAAUUCCAGGUGUAGCGGUGAAAUGCGUAGAGAUCUGGAGGAAUACCGGUGGCGAAGGCGGCCCCCUGGACAAAGACUGACGCUCAGGUGCGAAAGCGUGGGGAGCAAACAGGAUUAGAUACCCUGGUAGUCCACGCCGUAAACGAUGUCUACUUGGAGGUUGUGCCCUUGAGGCGUGGCUUCCGGAGCUAACGCGUUAAGUAGACCGCCUGGGGAGUACGGCCGCAAGGUUAAAACUCAAAUGAAUUGACGGGGGCCCGCACAAGCGGUGGAGCAUGUGGUUUAAUUCGAUGCAACGCGAAGAACCUUACCUGGUCUUGACAUCCACAGAACUUUCCAGAGAUGGACUGGUGCCUUCGGGAACUGUGAGACAGGUGCUGCAUGGCUGUCGUCAGCUCGUGUUGUGAAAUGUUGGGUUAAGUCCCGCAACGAGCGCAACCCUUAUCCUUUGUUGCCAGCGGUUAGGCCGGGAACUCAAAGGAGACUGCCAGUGAUAAACUGGAGGAAGGUGGGGAUGACGUCAAGUCAUCAUGGCCCUUACGACCAGGGCUACACACGUGCUACAAUGGCGCAUACAAAGAGAAGCGACCUCGCGAGAGCAAGCGGACCUCAUAAAGUGCGUCGUAGUCCGGAUUGGAGUCUGCAACUCGACUCCAUGAAGUCGGAAUCGCUAGUAAUCGUGGAUCAGAAUGCCACGGUGAAUACGUUCCCGGGCCUUGUACACACCGCCCGUCACACCAUGGGAGUGGGUUGCAAAAGAAGUAGGUAGCUUAACCUUCGGGAGGGCGCUUACCACUUUGUGAUUCAUGACUGGGGUGAAGUCGUAACAAGGUAACCGUAGGGGAACCUGCGGUUGGAUCACCUCCUUACCUUAAAGAA